CACUAUCUUAAAACCUGGUAAGAGAGAGAACCAAAGAUUCAUUUUGUGUUUCCUAUAUAAAAUUGUGCUUGUGGUUACUAGCAGUAAAAACAGUCGUUAUAAAAAUAUUUCAACUUAUAGAUGUAUAUAAAAGCAUUCCAACUAAUACAUGGCAAAUAAAUUAUUGAGUUAGAAUAUUACAAUUUUGCAACUCCCAGUAAAUUAAUGGAUGUAGACAUUGGUCAUCAAAGGCUGCUAAUAUCAAAAAACGAGUGAAAACCAAACGUUAUUUGCCUCCUGAUGAAUGAACACAGCACCACCUGUGGACUUUUCAAAGGGAUUAUACCUAAAUCCAAUAAAGCCUCUGAUUCCAGCUGCCAAUCUGCAGGUAAUACAGAGAACAGAGAAAUGUAUUGAACUGUACCAAGAGCAAAAUCCAGACAGUGGGAAACCACACAUCAGAAGUUCCAGUGUCUUAAUCUGAAAAAAAAUUUAAAGAAAACAAAGAAUGGAGGGGAUUCCUGAAGAUUAAAAGAUACUUUAAGGCUGGGCUCUGUGGCUCAUGCCUGUAAUCCCAGCACUUUGGGAGGCCAAGAUGGGCUGAUCACUUUGAGCUUAUGAGUUCAAGACCAGCCUGGACAACAUGGUCAAACUCCGUCUCCACAAAAAA
This is a long non-coding RNA of Sapajus apella (tufted capuchin), 649 nucleotides long. RefSeq lists it as uncharacterized. The transcript has 2 exons. NCBI's taxonomy places the organism in Eukaryota, Metazoa, Chordata, Mammalia, Primates, Cebidae. The record is from RefSeq and is a predicted model, not a curated record.